This 484-nucleotide ribosomal RNA is filed under the name uncultured bacterium. Its description in RNAcentral is "partial 16S ribosomal RNA". It matches the Rfam family "Bacterial small subunit ribosomal RNA", at positions 30 to 507 of the family's 1533-position model. The record is from RNAcentral.
AUUGAACGCUGGCGGCAGGCCUAACACAUGCAAGUCGAGCGGAUGAAGGGAGCUUGCUCCUGGAUUCAGCGGCGGACGGGUGAGUAAUGCCUAGGAAUCUGCCUGGUAGUGGGGGAUAACGUCCGGAAACGGGCGCUAAUACCGCAUACGUCCUGAGGGAGAAAGUGGGGGAUCUUCGGACCUCACGCUAUCAGAUGAGCCUAGGUCGGAUUAGCUAGUUGGUGGGGUAAAGGCCUACCAAGGCGACGAUCCGUAACUGGUCUGAGAGGAUGAUCAGUCACACUGGAACGGAGACACGGACCAGACUCCUACGGGAGGCAGCAGUUGGGAAUAUUGGACAAUGGGCGGAAACCUGAUCCAGCCAUGCCGCGUGUGUGAAGAAGGUCUUCGGAUUGUAAAGAACUUUAAGUUGGGAGGAAGGGCAGUAAGUUCAUACCUUGCUGUUUUGACGUUACCAGCAGAAUAAGCACCGGCUAACUUCGUG